Molecule: non-coding RNA, 4046 nt
Organism: Phascolarctos cinereus (koala)
Lineage: Eukaryota; Metazoa; Chordata; Mammalia; Diprotodontia; Phascolarctidae
Source: RefSeq, a predicted model, not a curated record
GGCUCGGCUCCGGGGGGCGGGGGGGGUGGAGCCGGGGGAGCAGCGCCCGGCGGCGGCGGCGGCGGGAGGCACGGUUGUAGCGGCGGCGGCGGCGGCGGUCUGGGCGGCAGGGGUGUCUGGCCCCCGCCAUGGAGGGCAUGGACGUAGACCUGGACCCGGAGCUGAUGCAGAAGUUCAGCUGCCUGGGCACCACCGACAAGGACGUGCUCAUCUCCGAGUUCCAGCGGCUGCUCGGCUUCCAGCUCAACCCGGCCGGCUGCGCCUUCUUCCUGGACAUGACCAACUGGAACCUGCAAGCAGCUAUUGGAGCCUACUAUGAUUUUGAGAGUCCAAACAUCAGCGUGCCCUCUAUGUCCUUUGUUGAGGAUGUUACCAUAGGAGAAGGGGAAUCGAUACCUCCUGACACCCAAUUUACAAAAACAUGGCGGAUACAAAACUCUGGAGCAGAGGCUUGGCCACCAGGGGUUUGUCUUAAGUAUGUUGGGGGAGACCAAUUUGGACAUGUGAACAUGGUGAUGGUGAGAUCGUUAGAACCUCAAGAGAUGGCAGAUGUCAGUGUCCAGAUGUGCAGUCCCAGCAUAGCAGGAAUGUAUCAGGGACAAUGGCGUAUGUGCACUGCUACAGGACUCUACUAUGGAGAUGUCAUCUGGGUGAUCCUCAGUGUGGAGGUGGGAGGACUUUUAGGAGUAACGCAGCAGCUGUCAUCCUUUGAAACUGAGUUCAACACGCAACCGCACCGCAAGGUAGAAGGAAACUUUAACCCAUUCGCCUCUCCGCAGAAGAACAGGCAACCAGAUGAAAACAACUUAAAAGACCCUGGGGGUUCCGGGCUAGGCACUAUCAGCAAAAACACAUGGGCUCCUGCUCCUGACCAAAUUGAACAAGAUCAAAACGGACUGUCACAAAACUCUGUAAAUCUCUCCCCCAGCAGUCACUCAAACAACUUAUCGGUAGUGACUUACAGUAAGAUCAGGAAAUCGAGGCCUACAGUAGUCAGAGAAGAUUUAAUAGAAAAGGAAUUGAAGAAGGAUAUAAGAGGGGAACUUCAAAAGGAGAGGAACUUGGAUCUCCAUCGGCCAACAGACCUUCAGACUAGAUCCUCUCCAUUGGGUUUCCACCCCAGCGGGACUCGACAGGUGUUUGGAUCCAGUUCUUACUCCCAUUCUAGUGUUCUCCCCUGCCCUAUGGGUAGAGAAAAGGCCACCAGGGAGCUCUGCCAUUAUCCCACCUGGAGUCCAGCACACUUCACUGUUGGAGAACCGUUUUGUUUUUGGUUUUGGUUGUUGUUUUUUGUUUUUGCAUUGUUCCAAACAGUUUGAAGAGUGCACUUUCUAAACUUUUUACUUGGAGGGGUGUGUCUAACCCAGCUGGAAGCUUCCUGGUCUUCUUGUAGACCUUUAAACAACUUGUUCUCAUUCAAGUUAGUGUUUGAGUUUUAUUCUUCAGAGUGCUUUUCUUGAAACUUAAAUGGGUGGGGGAGGGCUUCUCCACAAGGGUAGGAUCUGCUCUGCCCCUUUUGGGUUGGGGAUGUCCAAGUUGACUCUGGGAGCUGCCUUUGACCAUGGGGAUUCUGGAACACAUGAGUGAAUCCGAGGGGACUGACUGCCCCCAGCAGGGUUGAAGAAGUUAGUUGGCAGCCACAGAAGAACUGCUGUAGGCGGGGUUCCACGGCCCUUAUCCUUUUGGACAGUCGUAAAACGGGUUUCAUCGUGAAGAGAAAUUUACAAAGAAGGAUUGACUUUGGGUGGGGAGGGCAAGGGGUUCCUUUGGAUUCCAGACAACACAAUAUGGACCUCUGGCUCUGACUCCACAUCCUGGAUGAAGAGGAAUCUAAACAGACUAGUUUCAAGUAAACUCCGUAUGCAUGUGUGAAUGCUGAAUUGCGGGAAUGCUGAUUGAGGCUACAGAGAAGAAAUCCUCACGGUCAAGCUGUGUUAUGGGAAGGGGGGAGGGGCUUUUUUCUUUUUUUUUUUUUUAAGGUAACACAAGUAAUUAGAUUGCUUGGAAGGGGAAAAAGGUUUAGAAGUGGGAGAGAGAAAAAAAGCCAUCUUUUUAAACAAAACUUAUUUUGCCUAUAGAGAGGCUGUUGUUUUGAGAAAAUGUUAAGUUGUUUUUGAUUUGUUUUCCCACCCCCCCUUCUCUCCCUGUUCUCCAACCUCAUUUUUAAAAAACAAGGGGCAGCAUGCGUGGUUUGGAUUGGCUAUUUUACUCCUUGCUCUGAGCAGGGGCAGAUUGGAAAGCUCGAGUCAAGCGUGUGUUUUGGGAGUCUGUGUAUCAUUGCAGCGAGUGUUUUAUGUGUUGUUUAAUGUGAGGUCAGAGCAGGUGCUGACCUUGUGUUUUGAAUGGCAUCAGCCAUUUACUUCUCCCCCUCCCCCCCUUUAAUCUUCUUGAUUUACCCUUUUGGCAUUUGAAUUAACCGACCUGUGGCUCUUUUUCACCAAAAAACCUCUCUGGAGACCACUUUCCCCAUGUCUUCAACAGAGGAGGCCUCUGGAACAGGCCUCAGAUGGUGGAGGUCUUUAUUCAUCUGAAGGUAUCCCUGGCACACAUGGGUGCACACGCACGCACGAGCACUCUGAAAUCUGGAGCAAGAAACAAAAUUGCUUUUCUUCUACAUUUCUCUUAUUAUAGAGAAAUGUUGUCCACAGGUGAAAUUCUGUUUAGGGUCAUGCAUUGACUUUCAGUAACAGGGUAUAGAUUCCAUGCCCUUACAUUCUUCUCCCCCCCCCCAAAAAAAAAGCGUGUAUGUUUCUUGGUGUAAUUCAUCAGCUAGUGUGUAGUGUGUAAGUUUUAAGGUGUCAUGUAUUUCUGUUUUCCUCCCCUGUAUUUUCCCUCAAGUCCUACUUUGUGAUGUGUUCACAGCCAGCCUGUGGAGGCUGAGCUGCUGCUGUCUGGAAAUAUUGAAACUAGAGCCGGAAGUGUAAUCAGCCAUAGGGGAGAGCCACAUUCAGUCACUUCUCAGUUUUAGAGGCCACAUUAGUCUGGAAACGAGAGAUCUUCUGGGCAGGGUGCUUUGUAGAAGUGGCUGGGAACUAGGGUUAAUGGGCAGGGGAGGGGGUGGGGUGGGGUGGGGUGCGGGAAUUACAGCCAGAGCUGGAGCCCAGCUGCUGGCUGUACGUCUGUUUCAGGCUCAAAUCACUGCACUGCCCUAGCUGCCUGUUGGCUCUGGGACGUGUAGGAUAUGGAUAUCCCAGUGGGAAGCUUGAACCAGGCUAGAACAGCUGUCUGCCAAAGAUACAAGAAUAUGCAAAGUCCUCUUCCGGCCCCUUCUUCCUUACCCCCUCCAAACCCUCUUCCCCAUUACCCUUCUCCCCAAACCACACUGAAAAGUCUUAGCAAAUAACCAGGUCUGGAGGGUUGUGUUGUCUCUCAGUAAGUGGACCUGAAAUGUAGUCGCAGUAUUGUCUGCCCAUUGCCACUGUCAGGGUGGCAUUAAGCUUCCCAGACCAGAUAUGCAGCUGCAGGGGGUCCUGUAGCCUCGUCUUUGUGUGGUUGAGCGUAUGUAUGUGUAAGGUUUUGGUGUCUCUUGUUUGGAUGAUAGUUCUGAGAGUGUGGUCCUUCUCGUCCUCCUCUGAUACUGGUGUUUUGUUUUUUUAAAAGAAUGAUUGUAAGAGAGGGGCGUGUGUGAGAGUGUGUGUAUGUGUGUGUGUGUGUGUGUGCUAUAAUGGGAGGUUGGCCUUUUGCCUACUAGGGAAGCCCUGGGGAAUGUUAGGAGCCAACUUGAUCAUAAGGGGGCAAUUGUAGACCAGUAUGGGAUCGGGGGUAGUGUUUAUACUGCAGUAAUCAUUUUCUAUGCACAGGCUGAGUGCCUCAUCCUCUUUGCAAAGGGGGAAAAUGUGCUGGGUGACUGACUAGUAGGCCACGGAGCUGAGUUAAACCAGCAGAGUUCCAAGUUCUAAGAAGCAGAUUGUGGCAUUCUAGAGAGAGGCAUAGAUUUCUGCUUCUGCUACCAUCUUCUGCCCUUUCAAACUUUUUGCAGGCUUAGGCUAUAUCCUGAGACCCAGGAAUCUUCUGCUAGUUCCUUCCUCUUUUACUAGCCCAGAAAG